RNAcentral lists this unclassified non-coding RNA (282 nucleotides) under uncultured fungus. RNAcentral's name for it is "partial contains 5.8S ribosomal RNA, internal transcribed spacer 2, and large subunit ribosomal RNA". Lineage: Eukaryota; Fungi. The record is from RNAcentral.
AACGCACAUUGCGCCCGCCAGCACUCUGGCGGGCAUGCCUGUUCGAGCGUCAUCUCAACCCUCGACUGCCCCUUGGGGUGUCGGUGUUGGGGGACGGCGUGGCUGGCCCGGGCUUGCCCUAGGCCGAUGCCUCGCCGCCCCCGAAAUGCAGUGGCGACCCCGCCGCGGCCUCCCCUGCGCAGUAGCAAACGCUCGCACCGGAGCCCGGCGAGGCUUUGCCGUAAAACCCCCAACCCAGCAAAGGUUGACCUCGGAUCAGGUAGGAAUACCCGCUGAACUUAA